This is a non-coding RNA of Python bivittatus (Burmese python), 435 nucleotides long. NCBI's taxonomy places the organism in Eukaryota, Metazoa, Chordata, Lepidosauria, Squamata, Pythonidae. The record is from RefSeq and is a predicted model, not a curated record.
GGAGCUGCGGGUUCGCUUUGCGCAUGCGCAUGCUCCUCCGGCUAGGGCAGCUCCGCUGAUAACUGUUCUCCAGAAAUGGGGAAAAGAAGCGGUUUUAGAACUCGGAUUCGGCGAAGCUGACAAGAAAGCGGGUUGGGCAAUGACGGGUUCGCUUGGUUCCGGCAUGAGGUUCCUCGACUGCCUAGCGCGCUAUGAGCGGAGGUGGCCAGAUGCAAAAGGCUACAGCUGUGAAGAACAUUUGCAAAGUGCAGUUUAUUUUGUGCUGCUAAAGCUGAAGUACUCUUGGGAGAAAAACUAGCACUGCAAGUUAAGUUAGGAAGAAUAAUUCUGGGUUGUCCGUGUGCUGGGAGGCAUACUUGUUUGUUUGUUUUUUAAUUUUAUGAGCAUGCUCCUUUUCUCUUGACUUACUUAUUCCUUAGCGGGCUCUGGUGCUGA